RNAcentral lists this ribosomal RNA (254 nucleotides) under uncultured bacterium. Its description in RNAcentral is "partial 16S ribosomal RNA". It matches the Rfam family "Bacterial small subunit ribosomal RNA", at positions 524 to 776 of the family's 1533-position model. The record is from RNAcentral.
UACGAAGGUGGCGAGCGUUGUUCGGAUUUACUGGGCGUAAAGGGCGCGUAGGCGGUCAGCACAAGUCAAUUGUGAAAUCUCCGAGCUUAACUCGGAAAGGUCAACUGAAACUGUGCGACUAGAGUGCGGAAGGGGCAACUGGAAUUCUUGGUGUAGCGGUGAAAUGCGUAGAUAUCAAGAGGAACACCUGCGGCGAAGGCGGGUUGCUGGGCCGACACUGACGCUGAAGCGCGAAAGCCAGGGGAGCGAACGGG